GGCCCGUUAGCUCAGUUGGUUAGAGCGUCGUGCUAAUAACGCGAAGGUCGCGGGUUCGAUCCUCUCACGGGCCA
RNAcentral lists this transfer RNA (74 nucleotides) under Capitella teleta. Its description in RNAcentral is "tRNA-Ile for anticodon AAU". It matches the Rfam family "tRNA". From Rfam's summary of the family: Transfer RNA (tRNA) molecules are approximately 80 nucleotides in length. Their secondary structure includes four short double-helical elements and three loops (D, anti-codon, and T loops). The record is from Rfam by way of RNAcentral. Lineage: Eukaryota; Metazoa; Annelida; Polychaeta; Capitellidae.